GAAUGCUACAGCUCUUUCAGAAUUUGCCAAGCAGGUUUUCUCAUCUUUACUAGAAACCCCUC
Cercocebus atys (sooty mangabey) is the source of this 62-nucleotide small nuclear RNA. Its record names the gene U7. It matches the Rfam family "U7 small nuclear RNA". From Rfam's summary of the family: Animal histone pre-mRNAs are spliced by a different mechanism than nuclear pre-mRNAs and self-splicing introns. This processing involves the U7 snRNP, which contains only one RNA species: U7. Lineage: Eukaryota; Metazoa; Chordata; Mammalia; Primates; Cercopithecidae. The record is from Ensembl.